CCUACGGGAGGCAGCAGUGGGGAAUAUUGCACAAUGGAGGGAACUCUGAUGCAGCGACGCCGCGUGAGCGAUGAAGGUCUUCGGAUCGUAAAGCUCUGUCCUAAGGUACCGUCAUUAUCGUCCCUUAGGAGGCAGCCCCGGCUAACUACGUGCCAGCAGCCGCGGUAAUACGUAGGUCCCGAGCGUUGUCCGGAUUUAUUGGGCGUAAAGCGAGCGCAGGCGGUUUAAUAAGUCUGAAGUUAAAGGCAGUGGCUUAACCAUUGUUCGCUUUGGAAACUGUUAGACUUGAGUGCAGAAGGGGAGAGUGGAAUUCUAUGUGUAGCGGUGAAAUGCGUAGAUAUAUGGAGGAACACCGGUGGCGAAAGCGGCUCUCUGGUCUGUAACUGACGCUGAGGCUCGAAAGCGUGGGGAGCAAACAGGAUUAGAUACCCUGGUAGUCCAUGCUAUAAACGAUGAGUGCUAGGUGUUGGGAGGGACACCUCUCGGUGCCGAAGUUAACACAUUAAGCACUCCGCCUGGGGAGUACGGUCGCAAGACUGAAACUCAAAUGAAUU
This 554-nucleotide ribosomal RNA is filed under the name uncultured bacterium. RNAcentral's name for it is "bacterial SSU rRNA". It matches the Rfam family "Bacterial small subunit ribosomal RNA", at positions 338 to 911 of the family's 1533-position model. The record is from RNAcentral.